UUUAUCCUGAACUUUGAUUAUUCAGUAUUAUUCUCCUGCAAGGUUUUUGCUUGGAUAAUUACUUAGUAUAAAAUUAAGCAGCACAUGAGUAGUAAUUCUUUUAGGGCAACAGUUCUAAAUCGGUUCAGGGGUCAUGUUCCUUGGGUCAAACCCAGAAGGUCUGACCUAGACUUUCUUUUGAUUCGUCCCUCCAGGCACCUUCAUUGCUUUGUGAUGGACCCAUCUGACCACAUGGCUACUAUCAACCACAACAUGGAGGCUGUGGCACUGAAUGAUGAUGCUGCUCCUGAAGGUUCCGCCAAAGAGCAGAAUACUUCUGCUGUUGACUUGCUGAGAAUGAAACAGCAGAUGUACAACCAGUGCUUUGAAAUCAAAGUACAACUCCAGGCAGG
Long non-coding RNA from Monopterus albus (swamp eel), 392 nucleotides. RefSeq lists it as uncharacterized. The record is from RefSeq and is a predicted model, not a curated record. The transcript is spliced from 2 exons. NCBI's taxonomy places the organism in Eukaryota, Metazoa, Chordata, Actinopteri, Synbranchiformes, Synbranchidae.